RNAcentral lists this transfer RNA (67 nucleotides) under Puccinia triticina 1-1 BBBD Race 1. RNAcentral describes it as "Puccinia triticina tRNA PTTG_20748". It matches the Rfam family "tRNA". Rfam says of the family: Transfer RNA (tRNA) molecules are approximately 80 nucleotides in length. Their secondary structure includes four short double-helical elements and three loops (D, anti-codon, and T loops). Lineage: Eukaryota; Fungi; Basidiomycota; Pucciniomycetes; Pucciniales; Pucciniaceae. The record is from Rfam by way of RNAcentral.
GUCUCGAAAUCCCGUAGGGACAAGACUGUAAAUCUUGAGGUCGCUGGUUCGAUCCCGGCUCGGGGGA